GUCGGAUCCAGCUGCGUGAGGCCCACCUCUGCCCAGGUCAGUAGGCUACACCUGCCUGAUUCUCUGAUUGGUCAGCUGCAGAGUUCAUGGGUCCCUCCUUUUGGUUUAGCUCCUGCCUCUGGCUCUGUUCCCAUAUUCUACCCACCAGGAAACCAAGCGAUCCUAAAAUGGGUUUAACACCUCCACACUGAAUGCUUUUAACUCGUUUACAAGCAACUACCCCUUUCUCCAC
RNAcentral lists this long non-coding RNA (232 nucleotides) under Homo sapiens (human). RNAcentral describes it as "lncAB150.1". The record is from RNAcentral. Lineage: Eukaryota; Metazoa; Chordata; Mammalia; Primates; Hominidae.